UCCGCGCCUUUACGAAAUAAGCACGUAACAAAUUCCUUGAAAAAUUUCUUUGUUUGCGGUCCGAAAGUUCCCGUAGUUUCAAAUGCCAAGGGUUGCACUAUGUAUCGAACCGCCAGUCCAUCGUAUUUCUCAAGCUUUCGAUUCUCUUUUGUUUCCGCUGCACUUCCUGGAACACGUGAUGUCUGGCCAAUGGUGCACGAUUGUACAGUGUGGACUCAGGGGAAGUCACAGUCAAGGAAAGAUCGAGACAAGCGCCGAAUAGCUGUUGGCGGUUCACGAGGUGUUUCGCACGUCGCGUCAAGGCUUAUAUGAGGCUGCGCUGUUCUCCUGCCCAACUGAUCGUCAGCGGUUCCAACAACCACAUCGCACUAAUGAAGGGAACCUGCGUUUUUUGAUUUUUGGACACACUUGAAAACAGACAGACGGAAUGGUUUAUGGUGUUUCGCGCGAUUUUCUCUUUGGACGAUUAAUUAUUCACUUUUUAUUACCUGUUGUUCCAGUGGAAUGUUUUCGCAAAACGGGGGAUACGUCAUGGC
Paramacrobiotus metropolitanus is the source of this 536-nucleotide long non-coding RNA. RefSeq lists it as uncharacterized. The record is from RefSeq and is a predicted model, not a curated record. The transcript has 4 exons. NCBI's taxonomy places the organism in Eukaryota, Metazoa, Tardigrada, Eutardigrada, Parachela, Macrobiotidae.